UCCCGCGUUGCCCGCUGGGUGGGGUGGGUAGAUGUGGAAACAGCAAGAGAACUAGAAUUGGAAGUAAAGCGUUGAAGAUGUGACUGAAUUGCUGCAAUCUCAUGAUCAAAUUUGAAUGGAUGAGGAGUUGCUUCUUAGGGAUAAGCUAAGAAAGUGGUUUCUUGAGAUGGAAUCUACUGGUGAAGUUGCUAUGAACAUUGUUAAAAUGACAAAGAUUUAGGAAUUACAGAAACCUGGUUGAUAAAGCAGUGCAAGGGUGUGAGAGAGUUGACUUCAAUUUUGAAAUAAGUUCCACUGGCUGAGUGUGGUGGCUCACACCUGCAAUCCCAGUACUUUGAGAGGCCGAGGCUGAUAGAUCACUUGAGGUCAGGAGUUCAAGACCAGCCUGGCCAACAUGGUGAAACCCCACCUCUACCAAAUUAGCCAGAUGUGGUACACACCUGUAGUCCCAGCUACUUGGGAAGCUGAGGCAGGAGAACCUCUUGAACC
RNAcentral lists this non-coding RNA (489 nucleotides) under Pongo abelii (Sumatran orangutan). Lineage: Eukaryota; Metazoa; Chordata; Mammalia; Primates; Hominidae. The record is from RNAcentral.